Molecule: long non-coding RNA, 4671 nt
Filed under: Nicotiana benthamiana
Lineage: Eukaryota; Viridiplantae; Streptophyta; Magnoliopsida; Solanales; Solanaceae
Description: long non-coding RNA (NBEN_LNC031872)
Source: RNAcentral
AAAUAGGUAUAGGCUGGAUCAAUAAAAGAAAGAUAAGAAAGUUCCGAAAUAGUAUUUUAGUAAAGAAGAGAGGCAUUCUGGGCCAACUACUACGAGUACAUGCCUAUCUAGUGCAGUGGCUUGGAAGCAAGCUACCUUGACCAUCUUCCGAAGUUCUAAAUAAUUUAUUGAUCAAAGGUUGUAAGGGCGGACUGCUUUACAUUCUGCCACACCACAGUGACCUCGAAGUGAUCUUCUUCUAAUUGCGGGACGAAAUUUGACAGCCAAUUGCUGGCUCUGAGUAACUAGCCCAGCAAUAAGCUCAAGUCUUCCAUUACAUAAGGGGUCGGUCUUGCAUGCGAGCCGAAUGACGUAGGUGCACAAGAGUACUUUGUGCCACAACCAUCUCCUUUUUAUAGGUUCUACGGACCGAUGCCUGCUGCUUCAUCUGGGAGAAAAGAGUUUAUAUGAGUAGAGUGAGUAUUUUGCCAAAUGCAACUUGUCUUCUUAGUCUUUCAUUUAUGCAUGCUUGCCUUGCUCUGCUUGUGGUCUCUUACAAUAUUAUGCCCUCUUGCUUGGUCAAGUAUUAGUGCAGAUAUAAACAUAUCAGUCCUUGGUGGUACAAUUCUACUUGCAUCUUAAGUGGUCUACCAACAUUGGUUCGGUUAAGCACAUUUGCCUUUUAAUGCAGAUGUAGCUUUAAAAGUGCACUUCAGGAGUCUCAGCACAAAUGAAAAUUCACGAUUUUGAAAAUACAAGUCGAGCACAGAACAACUUAACAAGUAUGUAUGGUUGUCCAUCCUUUAAAUGAUUGCUCAUUCUGAUAUGAAUCCAGUUAGAAAGGGAACUAGAAAUAACUUUUAAGUACAAAUCAAGUUGAGCUUGUAUAUUUUUAGGUGUUGAUAAGAGAAUUUUCAGAAGGACAACUUGCUUUUUGCUCCUCAAGUUAUUGCUUGAUUUCAAUUUCCCUGUUUCUUUCAGUAAUAUAAUUGACCAAUCUUUAGCAAUCCCAUAAGUUACAGAGUCUUCCAUCCCCUUCUUCUUUUGUCUAUCCCUCAUAUCCUUGAUAAUCCUUCUUCAUACCUUGUAACCCCUUAUGUACUUGAUCACGCCUAAUAUGCCUUAUAAAAAGGAUUAUGCGGUCGUUGUAAAUAUAAUCCAGUUUACAAGUUCGGAGUCGAAUCCCACAGAGAAUUAAGGCUUAGCAAUAUUGCUAAGAAGACGAGCUCGAAUAAUUCAUAAGUUAUAAAUAUUAAGAUUCUUAUAUCUAAUUAACUAAAUAAUUAAAUUAGUAGAUUAACAACUAAAGAUACUACAGGUUGGAGAAAAGAUUUAGCAGGUCUAGAGUUAUGAUUUUUCCAAUUAUCGGAAUCCUUUCCGCUGCGUUUUUAUAAAUUUGCUUAAGUUUUCUCUAUCGAUCAUGAGCACUAUGACUGUCGUAACUCUCUCCCGAGUAGUUACAACAAUAUACUAGACAUAUUCUUCCGAAUUACGCUAGCUAGCUUUAAUUGCAGCUCACUUAGAUCGCAUCCAAGGUUUCGUUAUCCCUAAUCUCACCUUUAAACCCUUCGUAUUGAUUUCUCAUAUACGUUAGAAGUGAUGAUGUUUAACAACCACCUAAAUAUACAUUCUCUCCCGAGUAAUGCACACUAAAUAGGAACAUCUAAUUGAGGGCCCUUCAAUAAAUAGCAAUACGCAUAUAGUUAAACAAAUAGAGAUAAUACUACGGCAAAUCUAUAUUAACAUAACGAGAAAAUCAUCCUUCGACAGGUUCCAUCAAAACCUUAGAUAACAAAUUAGCUAUUCAUAAUAGUAUGCAUAACUACAAUACCAGAAUUCAUAACCAAUAAUGAAAAUAGGAAGAAAGAAGAGAAAAACUCGUAGAAGAAUUCUCUGCCUUGCUUCUAGUGUGUUCUUGCCUUCUUAGGUGCAAUCUCCGGUCUCCACGACAGCUCCGUGCUCUUCCUAGGUCUAAAUUAUGUCAAAAGUAUGUCCAACUCCUUCAAAAUAGCGUUUUUACAUGUAUUUAUACCAAAUAGGGUCGGGCCCAAACGAAACAGUUUUUCCUGCGCGAAAUAGGACUCUGGCUCUGUAAAAUUUGCACAGGCACGCUGCAUUGGACGAUGCACUGUGCGGCGCGGUAGUGGGGAAGUUCAGAGAGUUGUUUUCUGACAAACUGUUGGAAAAUUGCACAGGUGUGACGCACUGUGCGGCGCGGUAGUAGGAAUUCGCGAAAAUGCAAAACAUGAAAGUUGUAGCCUUUUCAAAUAGCUUUCCAACGAUAUAUUGUGGAGUCCAAACGGUGUUCUGAGCGAAAAGUUAUGUGCAUUUUACUAGACAAUGUGUUGUAUGCCCACUCGAUUCUCCGUUUCGUUCUUAUCUAUCAUCCGCUGAUCCCCGAACACGAUCCCGAUUUGAUUCCUUAGGCUUUUACUCAAACUGUAAAGAUCCAAAUCUCUUGAAUUCACUCCAUAAUAUCUACAUAGCUCGGAACCACUCCUACAACGCAUAAAAUACACAAUUAGUGCAAAACACUAGCGAUUAAAGCUCAAACUCAAUUAAAGUGUAGUACAUUAGAGUGUAAUAAGAGACUAAAAUACGUAACUAUAGCCUAUCAUAAGUACUCCUGAACAUUGCUUCCUACUUCUUGCAACCUUGCCAUUUGCCUCAAAAACUGUUAUUCUCUGCCUUUCCCCUGGUUCAUAAAUGGUACUGCAACAUGUGCAGUAAUUUGGGGCAGAAUUCAUGCAAAGGUUAAGGGUAGUUAACGAUGGGGUUGCAAAGUGCAGGUAAGGUCUUAGAGCCACUUAGCAAUUAUUUGGAUGCCAAUUGCUCACUGAUGAUUACUCAUUUUGUUACUCGGGUUUCACCUCCAUAUUGUUAGUAUUGUGCAUCAACAACAUACCACAUUGUGAUUUUUUCAAUUUAAUUUAUGGUAGUUGCAGAAGCGGGAUUAAUAUAUAUUUCGUGUUUCUCGUAAAGAAAAUCAGGUGAUUAAUAUUAGAAAAUUUAUUCUUAUGCUUAUCAUUUUUUUUAGGAUUUUGGUGCAUAUGUAUUAUUUGUUGAAUCAAACAGUUUUAACUAAUGAAAACUUUGGAGAAACAAAGGCAAAGUAGGGUAUCAACCUGAAUUCACUAAGCAUAAGCUUUACAUAAAUGUGCAAAAUCUGAAAAAUAGUCAAAGAAAAAAGUCACUCAUAUCUGGAAUAUCUUAUCUUUCGCCUGAAUCAGACCCUAAAUACACCGGGACAUCGAUCAAACAAUCCAAAUUAAGUUGGUUGUGGAUCUCGUUAGUCCGUAGUUGAGCAAUAUCUCCAUGUAAUUCUUUUACGUUAAAUAUUUUUAGGAGAGGAUCCAAAUUAAGUUAGUUGCUAAGCUGAUCUGUUCAUUGUUGCAUUAUUUCAGGCUCAUCUCAUAGACCUAAGCAUCCGUUUGAACAUCUCAGCCUUGGAGACUAUUUUUUUAUUUAUGAACAUCUACUGCUGGCUUUAUACAGUUCUUUCUUUCUUAAAAAGCCUCAUGAAAUUCUUGAAUAAUGCUCUAGUUAAGAAUCUCCACAAUGUAGAACUCUCAGCCUUGUUGAAGAUUUGGUGGGUGCCUGUCCUAUUAAAUUCUAUGUGUUUCACAGAUUAUGUCAUUUCUUGAGGAGACUACCAAAUUGCAAGUGGGAGAAUGAAUCAAUUAACUUCCUGACUAGUAUUGUCGGCAUUUGGUAAUGAAUAUAACGUCGACUAUCCUUUUCUUUUAUGACUUGGACUUCUACUAUAUGGAAAGACAUGUAUAUUAUGGUGAUUGGUGUAAAGUUGUGUUGUUUUUCAAAAUCCCGUUUGUGCUUAUUGCGCAUACGUAGGUAUAUUUACGUGUCUACAUUGGACUAUUUUCUAAGGACAGAAGUUUAUUUGUACUCAUUCUGGCAUACCAUCUGCUCCUAAAUUUGCAAAAAAGACUGCGACAACCUUUGUGAAUACAUGUCAACUGUUAACUAAAAUCAACAUUCCUGAAAUAGUGCAUGCUCAAAGAAUGGUGAUAUUUAAAUCUUUUGUUUAUUUAUCUACUUGUUAAUUUGUGUAUGGUGAAUGGUGAUUGAAACAAUAUAAUCAUCCUAAAGUUUUAUUUGCAUCUCCAUGUUAUGGGUGAACUCUCGUGUACAAUAAAAGAACGAGAAUAUAGAUGCUAAAUUCAGCAGAGUGGCGCUCAAGAUUUAUGUUGUCUGAUGUAUUUGAAGGGGGAGUUGCAGGCAAUCUUUCCUCAGCUUACAUAGUAUCUCAUCAUCUUGUAUGUGGAAGACACUAGACAUCUCAGCGGAGAGAAGACGACCUGGAAUUUGUAGGGUAAAUAUUUUGUUCUACUCACUUCAUAAUUUGAGUUUGAUAAGUCCUUUUUUCGCCGUUUGAAAUUCAAGUCAUGUAAGUCUCUGAAUAUGCAGACAGUUUGUCAAGAAAAUAUUCAAGUGCUUCAUGACUAUUGCUCCUUGUAAGUACCCAGAUAAUGUAGUAUGCUUUGGAGUCUCCAACAUCAGCCUGUCGUCAUUAACUCUGAUGCUUAGUUCAAUUAUGUUUUUAUAGACUAAACUGAAAAGCAAAUUAUGGAUUUGCAUAAUGUUGCUUGGACAUGGUUUACAGGUCUAAAUAUAAUAAAUAUUCUCAAUUCUUUGUUGGAUUAAAUCUUUUAGUUUUUGCCCCAUGUGGAUACU